AAUAUUGCGCAAUGGGGGAAACCCUGACGCAGCGACGCCGCGUGAGUGAAGAAGGCCUUCGGGUCGUAAAGCUCUGUCCUCAGGGAAGAAGGAAGUGACGGUACCUGAGGAGGAGGCCUCGGCUAACUACGUGCCAGCAGCCGCGGUAAAACGUAGCGGGCGAGCGUUGUCCGGAAUUAUUGGGCGUAAAGGGUGCGUAGGCGGCCAAGCAAGUCAGAUGUGAAAGACCACGGCUUAACCGAGGGGUUGCAUUUGAAACUGUUUGGCCUGAGUACUAGAGAGGGUAGUGGAAUUCUCGGUGUAGCGGGGAAAUGCGUAGAUAUCGGGAGGAACACCAGUGGCGAAGGCGACUACCUGGACAGUAACUGACGCUGAGGCACGAAAGCUAGGGUAGCAAAC
Molecule: ribosomal RNA, 399 nt
Filed under: uncultured bacterium
Lineage: Bacteria
Description: partial 16S ribosomal RNA
Rfam family: Bacterial small subunit ribosomal RNA
Source: RNAcentral